This 497-nucleotide ribosomal RNA is filed under the name uncultured bacterium. Its description in RNAcentral is "partial 16S ribosomal RNA". It matches the Rfam family "Bacterial small subunit ribosomal RNA", at positions 28 to 507 of the family's 1533-position model. The record is from RNAcentral.
GAUGAACGCUGGCGGCGUGCCUAAUACAUGCAAGUCGAGCGAACAGACGAGGAGCUUGCUCCUCUGACGUUAGCGGCGGACGGGUGAGUAACACGUGGAUAACCUACCUAUAAGACUGGGAUAACUUCGGGAAACCGGAGCUAAUACCGGAUAAUAUAUUGAACCGCAUGGUUCAAUAGUGAAAGACGGUUUUGCUGUCACUUAUAGAUGGAUCCGCGCCGCAUUAGCUAGUUGGUAAGGUAACGGCUUACCAAGGCAACGAUGCGUAGCCGACCUGAGAGGGGGAUAGGCCACACUGGAACUGAGACACGGUCCAGACUCCUACGGGAGGCAGCAGUAGGGAAUCUUACGCAAUGGGCGAAAGCCUGACGGAGCAACGCCGCGUGAGUGAUGAAGGUCUUCGGAUCGUAAAACUCUGUUAUUAGGGAAGAACAAAUGUGUAAGUAACUAUGCACGUCUUGACGGUACCUAAUCAGAAAGCCACGGCUAACUACGUG